GCACUCGUAGCUCAGUUGGAUAGAGCACCAGGCUACGAACUUGGGGGUCAGGGGUUCGAAUCCCUUCGAGUGCGCCA
Molecule: transfer RNA, 77 nt
Filed under: Pseudomonadales bacterium
Lineage: Bacteria; Pseudomonadati; Pseudomonadota; Gammaproteobacteria; Pseudomonadales
Also listed under: 4 other names
Description: tRNA-Arg
Rfam family: tRNA
About the family: Transfer RNA (tRNA) molecules are approximately 80 nucleotides in length. Their secondary structure includes four short double-helical elements and three loops (D, anti-codon, and T loops). Further hydrogen bonds mediate the characteristic L-shaped molecular structure. tRNAs have two regions of fundamental functional importance: the anti-codon, which is responsible for specific mRNA codon recognition, and the 3' end, to which the tRNAs corresponding amino acid is attached (by aminoacyl-tRNA synthetases). tRNAs cope with the degeneracy of the genetic code in two manners: having more than one tRNA (with a specific anti-codon) for a particular amino acid; and 'wobble' base-pairing, i.e. permitting non-standard base-pairing at the 3rd anti-codon position.
Source: RNAcentral